RNAcentral lists this ribosomal RNA (253 nucleotides) under uncultured bacterium. Its description in RNAcentral is "partial 16S ribosomal RNA". It matches the Rfam family "Bacterial small subunit ribosomal RNA", at positions 524 to 776 of the family's 1533-position model. The record is from RNAcentral.
UACAGAGGUCUCGAGCGUUGUUCGGAUUCAUUGGGCGUAAAGGGUGCGUAGGUGGCUAGGUAAGUCGGAUGUGAAAUCCCGGGGCUCAACCCCGGAACUGCAUUCGAUACGGGCAGGCUCGAGUUCGGUAGGGGAGACUGGAAUUCCUGGUGUAGCGGUGAAAUGCGCAGAUAUCAGGAGGAACACCGGUGGCGAAGGCGGGUCUCUGGGCCGAUACUGACGCUGAGGAGCGAAAGCGUGGGGAGCGAACAGG